UAGGGAAUCUUCGGCAAUGGGGGCAACCCUGACCGAGCAACGCCGCGUGAGUGAAGAAGGGUUUCGGCUCGUAAAGCUCUGUUGUUAAAGAAGAACACGUAUGAGAGUAACUGUUCAUACGUUGACGGUAUUUAACCAGAAAGUCACGGCUAACUACGUGCUAG
This 164-nucleotide ribosomal RNA is filed under the name uncultured bacterium. RNAcentral's name for it is "partial 16S rRNA". It matches the Rfam family "Bacterial small subunit ribosomal RNA", at positions 355 to 511 of the family's 1533-position model. The record is from RNAcentral.